GGUAGCGCCCGAAGUCCGCUUAGCUAACCGUAAGGAGGCGGCGGCCGACGGUAGGGUCAGCGACUGGGGUGAAGUCGUAACAAGGUAGCCGUAGGUGAACCUGCAGAAGGAUCA
This 114-nucleotide ribosomal RNA is filed under the name uncultured eukaryote. RNAcentral describes it as "partial small subunit ribosomal RNA". It matches the Rfam family "Bacterial small subunit ribosomal RNA", at positions 1413 to 1525 of the family's 1533-position model. The record is from RNAcentral.